AAUUUUCUAAUUUUGGGAACCUUGAACCCGUUCACCUCUUUCUUUCCAGUUGAAAACCUUGAACCCUUCCAUCUUUACCGUAUUCAUCUCUCUUCCAGUAGACGCAUAUCCUCUUCCCAUAGUCCUCAUCUCCUCUAUCUUUCCCUCUGGCUCCAUCUUUCCCGUUUGGGAACCCUGUUGACUUCAUCUCCUCUAUCUUUCCCGUAUCUCCCCUUCCCAUAGUCCUCAUCUCCUCUAUCUCUCCUCUUCGCAACCUUGAUCCCCAAAUCUUGAACCCAGACCUGUCUUCCCUCUCUCUUUCCCGUAUACCUAUCUCUUCCCUCUCGUUCUAAACGACGGGCAGCCACACGAUCGAAACCGACGGGAAUCAACUCCCAAAAUCAAGUUUCAGUUGAUUCAAUCACGCAUUGGUUUGCAACAACCGUACUUGGUUUGCCUCGUAUUCAGUCACGCAUUCAGUCACGCAUUUGUUCAAAAGAUAACUCAAGGUUGAUCCAGUAUAAGGUAAAAGUCAUUUUCUUCUCAAAAACAGGGGUGCGUGCUGCUCCAUUCAUACGCCAAACUGCUAAAAAUUAUUGGAGUCAUGCUUCUUUUGCAUUCGUGCUAUGGCAAUAGAACUAUGGAAGACAAAUAUGAGGCAUCCUCAGGCAUCUGAGGUCGUCAACAAGGACAUAAUAUCGCACUUUGUUCUUUGGCUAGUUUAUUGCAGAACGUAAGAACUUGUAACAUUUUAUUCUCGUAAAAGAUUUCCUUAUUAUAUCUUAUUUUAUGUUGUUAAUUUUUAUUCUGCAUAACAGAAAUUUUCCUUUUGCUUAUUUAAUUGGCAUUGACUUACAUAUAGUAUUCAUGCAUGUUAGAUGUAUUCUUCAAAAUCUUGUUCUUUUAGAUAGUUGUGAAAAACCUGUAUUCUUGUUCUGAAGAAUGAGCCUUGCAUAUGGCUUUUCCAGAUUUGUAGGAAGUGUUAACUUUUCACAGGGGAUUGAAACUAGAAAACAUUUGAUGCACAUACUUAUAUAUGAUAUGCCUGACUGCUUAACCCAUUGCCUCGAGCUAUUACGGUAUUACCUUAGAUGAGAAUUUUACUUGAAAAGACUUAAGCAGUGCAGGACCCAACCAUUUAAAUACUAUACUUUUGAGCAGUUGCAUUAUAACCCACAUAUCCCAUGUAAAGUUUAUUCUAAACCUUUCAUGAGGUGGAACAAAUCAGUGAAAAAAUCUAUCAUUUUUGCUCACAAAAUACACAUACUGCCACGGUUUAAUUGCUAUUCUCCAAGAAGCAACAUCGCAGCUUCCCCCAGAGACCCCGAUUGAGGACGUCAUUGUACCCAAGGAUGCAGAUGUUCAGAUCGUGACUGAGGUCCAGGAUCAGAAGUUCGGUCGUCGUCAUGGUAAGGUUGUUCGGUGUACGGGGAAGGCGGGGGUUCGUGAAACGGGUGCUUCUUCUUCCAAAUUGUCCACAUGAGAGGUCAAUUCCUUGGAGGAAGUGAUAACCCUAAGAGGUCAGGUUGCGGCCCAGGGUGACCAUAUUAGGGCCCAGGACAAGAGGAUGAAUAUGAUUGUUCAGGCCUUACCGAUGUCCGGCCUCCAAAUCCCGACGAUGCUAGCACCUAAUGUUGCUCCACCUUCGACUUCCCAGCCAUUUCGCCCAAACGAUACCGAGUAGCAUGAUGUAUUAAACUUAGAAGACUUGCAGUUUUUUAUUUUUUUUGUUCAGACAAACGUACAUUUUCAUAUAUUCUAUAAUUAAUUACUUUUUCUUGGUUUA
Malus domestica (apple) is the source of this 1765-nucleotide long non-coding RNA. RefSeq lists it as uncharacterized. The record is from RefSeq and is a predicted model, not a curated record. NCBI's taxonomy places the organism in Eukaryota, Viridiplantae, Streptophyta, Magnoliopsida, Rosales, Rosaceae.